GAUGAAGAACGUAGCGAAAUGCGAUAAGUAAUGUGAAUUGCAGAAUUCAGUGAAUCAUCGAAUCUUUGAAUGCAUCUUGCACUCCUUGGUAUUCUGAGGAGCAUGCCUGUUUGAGUGUCAUUAAAUUCUCAACUACACUGACUUUGAAUUGGUGUGGCUUGGAUUUGGGGGGAAAAUUGUUGUGGGCUUUUUGUAUAGUCUGCUCCCCUGAAAUUGAUUAGCGGUACCUUUGUGGAACUGUCUACAGGUGUGAUAAUUAUCUACAUCUUAGACAUCUGCUGGAAUGCUGCUUUCUAAAACUAACUUGUAUUGACAAUCUUGACCUCAAAUCAGGUAAGACUACCCGCUGAACUUAAGCAUAUCAAUAAGCGGAGGA
RNAcentral lists this unclassified non-coding RNA (376 nucleotides) under soil metagenome. Its description in RNAcentral is "partial contains 5.8S ribosomal RNA, internal transcribed spacer 2, and large subunit ribosomal RNA". The stretch from base 1 to 120 matches the Rfam family "5.8S ribosomal RNA", at positions 35 to 154 of the family's 154-position model. The record is from RNAcentral.